Long non-coding RNA from Sciurus carolinensis (gray squirrel), 145 nucleotides. RefSeq lists it as uncharacterized. The record is from RefSeq and is a predicted model, not a curated record. The transcript has 2 exons. Lineage: Eukaryota; Metazoa; Chordata; Mammalia; Rodentia; Sciuridae.
GAACUUCUGAAGUGUAUGUGUCAUUUGUCCCGCUGGUCAGCGACAAGAGGCAAGUGGUGACCCGUACCAGGAAUCGGUGAGUGCUCAGGACGCACAAUCACCAAUUUUGGUGCCAGAGAGAUUGGUCAAGGCCUCAACAGAGACC